This 45-nucleotide non-coding RNA is filed under the name Trypanosoma brucei brucei. Lineage: Eukaryota; Euglenozoa; Kinetoplastea; Trypanosomatida; Trypanosomatidae. The record is from RNAcentral.
AUAAAUCCAAUAUAAGUAGAAUAGAAUCGAGAGUAUCAUGAUAUU